GACGUAGGUGGCGAACGUUAUCCGGAAUUAUUGGGCGUAAAGGGUGCGUAGGCGGCAUGAUAAGUUAUUGGCGGUAAAUCGAGGCUCAACCUCGUGGAAACUGAUAAUACUGUUUUGCUUGAGUACAGGAGAGGUUAACGGAACUCCAUGUGGAGCGGUAAAAUGUGUAGAUAUAUGGAAGAACAUCAAUAACGGCGAAGGCAGUUAACUAUUCUGUCACUGACGUUGAGGCACGAAAGCGUGGGGAGCAAAAAGG
Molecule: ribosomal RNA, 256 nt
Filed under: uncultured bacterium
Lineage: Bacteria
Description: partial 16S ribosomal RNA
Rfam family: Bacterial small subunit ribosomal RNA
Source: RNAcentral